Long non-coding RNA from Xenopus laevis (African clawed frog), 445 nucleotides. RefSeq lists it as uncharacterized. NCBI's taxonomy places the organism in Eukaryota, Metazoa, Chordata, Amphibia, Anura, Pipidae. The record is from RefSeq and is a predicted model, not a curated record. The transcript has 3 exons.
CUGAAACCCGCCAGAUUACCAGCAUGUUGGGUGGGUUCAAAAAAACGUCCUCUCUCCCUGCCCAAAAACCUCACAUUGCUGGCUUCCUUGAAUUUUAAACUCUCAUCUGCCCAGCAUUUUGUGACAUCACCACAGGGAGGCGGGUCCAUAAAUAGAGGGGACAGAGUGGCCGGGUUUUGGUUUGGAGGGGGCAGGUUAGGGUCAUCACUAGCGUCCGACCCUGCCUGAGCCACCUGCUGCCUGCCCACAACUACUUCCAGGGGUGCUCUCUGCAUUAGAAAUUCAGCCCCUCUUCACCUUGUAGGAUCACAAAAAGGAAACAUCAUUUCAAAGAUGGUUCCCUCAUAUACAAGAAUAGAAUCCAAUCCCAGACUGAGUGCUGUUAGUAUUCCUGCAAGCUACAUAUUGUUCCAGUCAUCAGUGAUUCUACAGACACAAUGGUAAA